UAAAAUCACACUGCAACGCCUCAAGAUAGUCGGUUUGACCAGAAAACAGGGCUUUCGGCUACUACCCACUAGAUCAAUCACUAGAGAAGGCAACGAGAAACUGGUCUAGGAAGUUUCCACACAACACUCGGCUAGCCCAGAAUUCGA
Molecule: long non-coding RNA, 147 nt
Organism: Juglans microcarpa x Juglans regia
Lineage: Eukaryota; Viridiplantae; Streptophyta; Magnoliopsida; Fagales; Juglandaceae
Exons: 3
Source: RefSeq, a predicted model, not a curated record